RNAcentral lists this long non-coding RNA (1303 nucleotides) under Gossypium barbadense (sea-island cotton). Its description in RNAcentral is "long non-coding RNA (GBAR_LNC017698)". The record is from RNAcentral. Lineage: Eukaryota; Viridiplantae; Streptophyta; Magnoliopsida; Malvales; Malvaceae.
CUCAGUCCAAACACAUGGGCCCAGCAUGGCCCAAAUCGUUUUUAACCCAAUACCCAUACAAUUGAAACCCUAAACCCAAAUUUAACCCAGACCUAAUUCCUAAAAUAGUGGCCCAAUUACUAUGAGGCCAACACCCGAAACAAUUCCAAAAACCCUAAGGCAGUAGGCAAACCCGAGCACCGCAAUAGCUCCACUCGUCUGCGCGUGUCAACCCUCUACCCUCACGUGCGCCUCCGUACCCUCCGCAUCUGCCACGCACACCGCUACAUUAGCACCGUACCUGCACACAAGCAAGCAGGCAUAAACGAAUAGAAAAUAGCACAACAAAUGGAGCGAAAAUUGUAAUAGCAGAGAGAAAAAAGGAAAAACAGAAAAAAGAGGGAUUUUUGUAUUUUCUUUUUUUGGCUAUAUAAAGCCAUUACAAAAUCUAUAAAAAAAAGAAAAAAAGAAAGGAGGAGAUCAAUAUAAAAAAUUUUGAAAAGAAGGUUUUCUUCUUUCUCUUAUCUACUCUGUUUUUUUCGGCUGCUUUUCUUUCCUUCUCUAUUUGCUAUUGAUUAUAUGUAAUAGAAUAUAUAUAAAAUAAAUGAGAAAAAGGGAAGAGGAAUCUCACCUUUGCGUGCCAUUGGAGCCAUCCUCUACUCUGUCCGAAUCGGAAUGAGAGAGAGGAGAGUUCUGGCUUUCAAGGCGGCGGAGAAGAAAGGGGCUUACCUGUGUAUCAGAACCGUCGAGUCAUCGAAUCCUAGGCCGCUUCGCAGUGGUCGAAGAUCGAAAGGGACGGAGGUUGAUUGUAGCGCGAUUCUGAUUGAAAGGGGGCUAGGGUUUUAGUUUGUUUCUAUUUUUAGGUUUUGUUUAUUUAUUCAUUUAGAUCUAAAGCAUAAAACGGCGUCGUCUGAUAGCCCUCAACCCGCGCGGUGACCCGGCCCAGGGGAAGGAUCCGCGCGUUUUGGGUCUACGGGAUUAUUGCGUAACUGGCCCGUCUGCAUUCGUUUUCAUUUCAAUUCGAUUUUUUUUUCGUUUUUUUAAUUGUUACCUCAUAUUUAGUUCCAAUUUCAAUUUGAUCCAUGAUAUAACGGCAUCGUUUUCGAUGAUUGGGUUUGAGUGCCUGGAUUUAUGAGUUUAAUUGCUGCUUUAGUCCAUUGAAUUUGAAUCGGUUGCAACUUUAAACCUUCAAAUAUCUACAUUUUAAUUUAAAUCCUUUUUUGCUAUGUUUACUAUUAUUUUUAGUAUUCUGUUUAAUUUUAUAAAAAAAAAAUUAGUAUUUACUAGUAUUCUUAUGUUUUUAUAUUAGUUAUAUCUUUUAUUU